UGAUAUGUCAACAUGUGAAACUACACAGAGGACUGCCAACCAAGAAUGCUUACCUGACCUUGAUGUCCAGAGCUUUCAUUGGGGUUUCAUUACGCAGUGAGAGCAAUAGGCCAGCUGGAGGUAAAACUCACAAGAAUGUGGGGGCCCCUACUAUUGGAUGUCUUUGGAGCUUUUCACUCUGAACUAGCCUGAGUCCACACCAAUUGAUCAAUUAUCAAUAAAUUUUGGCCUACUGAUGUUGGCUUCAGCUGCAGGCUGCUGCUUCCGGGUUUUGCUUCUGAAACUAUAAAGGAGCCUUGGCCACAAAAAUCUCCAUAGUAGAAGAUUAUACUCAUUGAAAGAAGCUUUGAUUCUUAUGCAUCCUAAAGAAACUGCCAUACAGUUUUCAAGAUUGACUAUACCAUCCUACAUUUCCACAAUGUAUGAAAGACCUCAUUUCUCCACAUCCUCACCAUAACUUGGAUCAAAUGAUAGAAGACUUGUGGGAUCACAAAUAAAAAUGUAUCACUGAAGGACCUAACAAAGGUAAGAUCCCUUAAAAGAAAUUAAGCAGAAUUUCAAGGAAUGGUUCUCCUCAUUGUGUUUUUCUAGCUGGGUUCCAUAGUAUAUGUGUUUCAUUUAUUCCAUCAUCUAAUUACAGUAAGACUGAUCUUUAUGUUUUCUGAUUUUAUCACUCCUACAUUACGAGGACAAUAACCAAGUUCAUCCUUAGUGGAUACUAAGUGAAGACACAAAGUCAUUUAUUAACAAGCAUGAAAUCAGUAUCCUCUAUUUCCUUGAUUUUAUGCUUACAUAAAAAUAUAUUCUUUUAGGUUUUUAUUAGUGUAGAAUAUAUGCAUUCAAUUAAUAAGGAUCCAAGUAUCUACACUUCCUGAAAAAGUCAUACUUGUUACUUUUAAAGAGCAAUGUAAUGUAAAGUUAUUGUAUAAAUGCUAUGUCUAUUCUGUUUCUUGGUUAUAUUUGCUUUACUUUUAAAUCUGCAACAUUUCUGAUCUCUUUGAUGAAAGGUUUACAUUCUAAACUGAAUUUAAUUCUGGAACCACUACAGAGCACUUUGUGAUGGAACAUUGCCAAUUAAAUGUCCACAAAUGUUUUUUUUUAAAAAGUAUAAGUCUCUGUUCCAUAAUUCUGGUAUGUAGUCUUUAGGUGGCACUGUGGUUCCAGUAGUAAAUGAUUUAAUAUUAGAGUCUUUUGUUAGGUUUAUGAAUAAAGAACUCUGCCACUAUUUUUGCAUUUAUUUUUCAUACUUAUGCCUUGUAUUACAGGAAUUAUAACUUUUUCUCACAUAUUAUUUCACAUCAUUGUAAACCUAAGAAUUAAGCAAAACACUCCUUUUAUUCCCCUUUGACAGAUGGCAAAAAUAAGUCUCAGAGAAGUUAAAUGGUUUUCACAGGCCUCCUCAUGCCCUACAGAAUAUUUUGAAAAAGAUGUUUUAUCUUUCUUCCUGGGCUGUGUCUGCUUUAGGGUCAUGCGCUUUCCCAAGUCCCCCAGCUCCAGAAUGAUUGACACUCACUUUGGUGAUGUUACUCACUUGGAUGAUGUUUCUGUUGAACAGAGAGCAGUGAUGGUUUCAGUAUGCCACGGUUCUCUUAAUCUCUUCAUCUCUUUGUUCAUCUUUACAUCUCUAUUCCAAAGAGGACAAUAGGCUUUAAUAAGUGUUUGGGUAAUUAAUGAACAUAGGGCAUAACAUUUAGAACUAUAUGCUAAAUGAAACUGUUCACGCAGUACAAAGGAAACAUACCUAACAAGAUAAAUAUUUUCCUUAGUGUUCCUCUAAAGGGACUCCCAUUUAUAUGUCCAGUUCCUAAAUUUAAUAUUGUGUUAAAGUUUUUGCCUAUCUGUUGAAAAUAUCUUCUUUCUCCAAACUCGAGUGUAUAAUCUAGAUCCAACUUUUGGGGAAAACUAACUAAACUAUGUAGUUGGUAUCCCUGCUUCUCUAGAAAGGCUUUCCAUAAUUUGACAUCUCCAACCAAUAAAAUAUGUGUUGGGCUUCAGUUAGAAAUUCUAUAGGUAGUCCUCAGAGCAGCCCAUUAAUGGGCUAGGCAUUCUCAUGUUCAUUCUCAAGUUCAAUCUCAAGUUCAUGCUCAAGUUACCCCAUAACUUCCCAUACUCCUUUUCUUCAGUGGAAUUAGUACUUCAUUAUUAGGUGGAGCACCAUCUCACUUUCAAAUGAUGCUCCUUUGGCCCGCAUAGAAUAAGAUUUGGGUCAAUGCUGAUCCACGUGGUCUUACUCACUACUUCUCUGACUAUACCAAGGUAUGACUACGGUUUCCUAUUUCUAUUUGUAAGUAGUCAAUUAAAUUAUUAACAAAAAACUCUCCUCUUCCCCAGGCUGGAGAGAGAGGAGAGAAAGUAAGUGCAUUGCUCUAAUUAUAGCUGGAACGGCUUGUUUCAUUGCACAUACGAAUUAUGGAAAAAGAAUCCAAUGUCAGUUUCUUUAAUGGUGCUUUCUAGCACCUCUUGAUUCUGAUACCAAACUUACUGUUUCUCUGAGUUUAUGCUAUGUAACUUAAAAGCACUUUCCAAAAUGUUGACUGCUUACUGUGAAAUGCCAAAGGGAGGGCAGAGCCCUUAAUCAUGGAGAAUUCAGGACAGAGGGAAAGGUAGAGCCAGAUGGUUGGAAAUAAUGUGGCUGACUGAUACCAAAUUGCACAUGAAUUUUACAAUACCCAAUCGGGUUUCAAAAGUUAUAUUUGAGUGAUUUCUAAUUUCUUAGUGCCUUGCUUAUAAUUUUCUUAAUGCUUUAAUGUCACGUCAUAUUUGGGUCACAAUUAUAUUGUAUUAGAAAUUUUCUAAUAACAAGGAUUAUGUUUUUUAUUUUAGUGUUUUCUAUCAUAAAAGCCUUUUGUGGUCUCACACUGACAGUAUCUUACCAGUCUAGGACUAAAGGGAAAAAUAAACUUAUUUCCACAGUAUUUCUCAGAUGACUGUAGCCCAAACAAAGCUUGCAUUAACAAUCUUAAAACAAUAACUUUAUAUUUCAAUAUUCACUCAUCCUCAAAGUUCCUAUGAGUACAUAUGUAUAUAUGUUGCAAGUGAACAGUUAAUAGAUGUGGAUUUAUUGGAUCCCUGUAACAACCUAAAAGAAAGAAAUAUAAGCACAGAAAUAAGAAUCCACAUACAUUGUUUUAUGGAAGAGGGUGAUGAUAUCUAUUUUAUAGAUGAGGAACCUACCUUUCAAUAAGAAGGCAAAUCAUUUCCAUAAAUUUCACUGCAUUUCCUACAUUUCUAAAAAUAAAACAAAAGUCUGAAUAUAAGAAAUUAAAGUAAAAAUAUUUUCAUUUGUAAGUAGAGAAGAGACAAGAUGAAUAUUUUGUCCUUUAGCGUAUAUAAACAUUUGUGGACAUUAGAAUUAUCCAGACACAUAGGAGACCUGAAUAUAUUGACAUGAUUAAAAUAUAUUGCUUUUUUAUGUUGCCAUAGAAUGUAUAUUGUUUUGACAAGAUGAGACACAUAUUUACAACACUGCAUAUAAUCCAAGAUUUCAGAGUUUUAAGUUUCACUGUGAUCAAAAUUGAUACUUCUUAAAAACUGUGAACUUGUAUUCAGAAUUUGGGGGACAAAGAACUAAAAGUCAAGUGAAAAUUUCCUUGAGGCAAUUACAUUAAAGCCAAAUAACCUAGAGAAAAAUGAAGGAAUGUAUGUAUACAUAUAUGCUAGUUAAUUUUCACACAUAUAAAUACAUUAUACAUAUGAUUGUUUUAAAAUUAUUGGUGAUUUUUCUGGGGUAUUUCAUCUUCAUUAAUGUUCAUUUUAAACUAAUGAUAUGAAGGUCCAUUUAUACUCCUAGGGUCAAUGAACACAUGAUUUAGUUUCUUAGCUAAAUUUCAAUCAAGGCUGUGAUACUUUCCAGCUAAGUAUUUUUCAACAGUUUCUUGAUCUCUGAAAACUUUGAUUUAAUUACUCACAUGGCUUAUGGAGUUGAUGGGAGGGUGCAGAGACAUAUAACACAUGUAGAAUAUCUAACCAGGUGCCAUUUUAAUGGCAUAGUAACACUGUAAUAAAUG
Long non-coding RNA from Acinonyx jubatus (cheetah), 4007 nucleotides. RefSeq lists it as uncharacterized. The record is from RefSeq and is a predicted model, not a curated record. The transcript has 5 exons. Lineage: Eukaryota; Metazoa; Chordata; Mammalia; Carnivora; Felidae.